CUGGAAGCCGUGAGCCCACAGGCUGGGCACGUCGUCGUCCACGAUCUCCAUCUUGCGGCCGGUGAAGGAGGGGCUCUCGAACAGGUGCAGCUUGUGGUCAGGGCCGUCCUGGGAGCGACAGGGCGGUGAGCGCGCUGCUUCUGCACCAGGAUGAAGACUCAUGCUACAAUUCAUGUUAAAUUCCAGAUGUUACUGCGUGUAAUCCUACCACUCUGGGAGGCCGAGGCAGGAAGAUCCCAAGUUUGACCUCAGCUUGGGCAAUUUAGAACUUGCUUCAAAAUUUUAAAAAACUAAAGAAAG
Molecule: long non-coding RNA, 300 nt
Organism: Cavia porcellus (domestic guinea pig)
Lineage: Eukaryota; Metazoa; Chordata; Mammalia; Rodentia; Caviidae
Exons: 2
Source: RefSeq, a predicted model, not a curated record